Xyrauchen texanus (razorback sucker) is the source of this 2131-nucleotide long non-coding RNA. RefSeq lists it as uncharacterized. The record is from RefSeq and is a predicted model, not a curated record. NCBI's taxonomy places the organism in Eukaryota, Metazoa, Chordata, Actinopteri, Cypriniformes, Catostomidae. The transcript has 4 exons.
GUGUUAGGUUUAUGGACUAGUUUUAGCCACUAGAGGCCCUCAUUGCAUUUUAUUUCAGUUUCCCGCCUUUGUAUCAUGUGUCAUUGUUUUCACCUGUGCCUCAUUUUUUGUGAGUGUAUUUAAGUUGCUCUGUUUCUCUGUUCUUUGCUCAGUGUUUGUUAUGUUGAGACCAACACCUCUAGGCUUCUGUUGUUUUGAGGACACUUUGUUACCCUUGGAGGUUUCUGAACUUUGUUAAGAUUUUUGCAAAACCUUUGGAACAUUUGGGAUCUUCUGUUGGUAACUAUGUUAUGUUUUUUCCCCUAUUGACUUUUUGGGACAUUUUUUGAGUUUUUUCAGUUUGGAUUAACUUUUGGUAUUUUUGUGGAAUUACCUUCUGGUCUAAUUAAAAGACAUUGAGUAUAUUCCCUGACUGAGCUCUCAUUUCUGCAACUGGGACCACAUUCCCCAUUUUCCCCAAGCUCAGUUCCCUUGACCUUGCGUCACCCAUGAUAGUCUGACAACAUUUACAUUACAUUUAUGCAUUUGGCAGACGCUUUUAUCCAAAGCGACUUACAGUGCAAUUAUUACAGCGACAAUCCCCCCGGAACAACCUGGAUUGUAUUUAAUAUAUAUUUAGGAUAUAUUACUGAAUUGCAUUUAUGCCGACAUAAACGCUGUGUAAAUGUAUCUGUGUAAACACACCUUUUACAAGAAUUGUAUUAAAUGUAUAUCUAAUUUUUUAUAUUUACUCUGUCAAAUCUAAAAUUAUCUCCCAUUUGAAGCGAUCUAUCUACAGGAGUCUGCAGUUGUAUGUAAGUGUGUUUAUUUCAUUGUUUUUAACGUUGUUAUAGUGGUAUUCAUUGCUAGAUCAGGUGCUGUUUGUUUACUGUCUUGAACGGGGGUCGCUUAGACGUGUGUUUGGUGUGUGUGCGCGCUAUAUUUGUGUUGACUUGUCCCAUAGUAUUCGCUGAUAGAAUUGUUAGACUUGUUUAAACUUGUCACGUAGGAUUCGUUGCUAGAUUUGCUUAGACUUCGGGUUGGUUAUCCUGUGUGUGUGUAAAACUAUCGUCGUUUUAGUGUCUGCAAACAGUGCUUCACUGGUUUCAGAGUAUUAUUUAUUGCUAAGUGCAGCAUAAUUUAUUUGCGCUGUACAGAAGUUGCGUUUGUUCCCGCGCAACCCUGAGUUUCGGUUUCGGGUGACUACGUGACUAGCUUUGUUGUGAUAAGUAGCAUUAAGGCGUGGCUGCUUUUUUCCACUGAACGGCUCGUAAAAGUGGUUAUUUAUUGGACUUAAUGCUGACGCGGAAGCGGCAGCGGAAGUGGUGGCCAUCGUGUGAAGCCCUCCUUGUGUGAAGACCUACUUGGGUAAAGACCAGCGAGUCUACCUGUGCGAGUCCACCGAGCAAGGACACUGACAAGGCUCCACUCACCAAAGCACUUAAACCGUUCACAAGAUACAUAUGCAAGACAAAAUGCAACCUACGGCCGCUUUGCACUUCAACACCUGCUCCACUCUCGUUCUCAGUUGGACUCUGGAACUGCCAGUCUGCUGUGAACAAAGCUGCCUUCAUUCCAGCUUUCGCCACGCAGUCCACCCUCAGCAUCCUGGCACUGACAGAGACAUGGAUACGUCCUGAGGAUACAGCAACACCUGCUGCUCUCUCUAACAACUUCUCCUUCUCCCACACCCCUCGACAUACUGGUAGGGGUGGGGGAACAGGUCAGCUGACAAGCUUUCUUGAGGAAUUGGAUGUCCUGCUGUCCUCCUUGCCAGAGGAUGGCAGGCCAGUUGUGGUUCUUGGUGAUUUCAACAUACACCAGGACAAACCCCAAGCCAUUGAACUGAAGACUCUUCUGGCCUCAUUUGACUUGGAAAGACUACACACCACAGCAACUCACAGACCAGCACGGACUACACCACCCAGCCCCUGGCUGUCUGACGUCCUUCGUGAACAUCGGACUGAUCUCAGGGCAGCUGAGAGGAGAUGGCGGAAAUCUAAAGAUCCAGCUGAUCUAGGUAAAUAUCAGCUUCUGCUCGCAACUUUUUCAAAUAACGUUAAAACUGCAAAAACUUCAUAUUACCAGACCAAGAUCAACAGCACCACAGACACUCGUAGCUUGUUUAGAACAUUUAACACACUUCUCUGCC